RNAcentral lists this ribosomal RNA (459 nucleotides) under Triticum aestivum (bread wheat). RNAcentral describes it as "partial small subunit ribosomal RNA". The record is from RNAcentral. Lineage: Eukaryota; Viridiplantae; Streptophyta; Magnoliopsida; Poales; Poaceae.
GCGGCCAGAGAGGCGUGAGAGAGGGGAGCUGCAACAGGAACAACUAAGGGAGGAAGUAGCAGCCGAUGCCACCAAAAGAAGGGGAGCAGCAGGGGGACACGGCCGAGGGAGUGGAGCGGCAAGGGGGCGCCUCCGAUGGAGGGGAGUAGUAGGAGGGCCCCGCCGCUGGAGGGGAGCAGCAGGGGGGCGGCGUCGAUGGAGGGGAGCACCGGUGCCUGUCGAGGGAGAGAAAGAGGUGAUGCCGAGGGAAUGGUCGAUGGAAGGUAGCUAGAGAUGGGGGAGCUCGGUGACGACCAUGCGGCGCGAGGCCGUGGUGGCAUGUGUCAUACAGUCGUGGAGGGGAGAGGAGGCUGGCGAUGUCUUGCCGGGAAGGGGAGGUGGUGGAAGAAGUCGUGAAGGGAGGGAAGGGGAGGCGACAUGGAGAGCCAUGGCAUGGAGAGCAAGCGGCAAGGAAAUGAG